GCGGGUGUAGUUAAACGGUAGAACACCAGUUUUCCAAACUGGAUACGAGGGUUCGACUCCCUUCACCCGCU
RNAcentral lists this transfer RNA (71 nucleotides) under Candidatus Magasanikiibacteriota bacterium. Its description in RNAcentral is "tRNA-Gly". It matches the Rfam family "tRNA". Rfam says of the family: Transfer RNA (tRNA) molecules are approximately 80 nucleotides in length. Their secondary structure includes four short double-helical elements and three loops (D, anti-codon, and T loops). The record is from RNAcentral. Lineage: Bacteria; Candidatus Magasanikiibacteriota.